Molecule: long non-coding RNA, 791 nt
Filed under: Manihot esculenta (cassava)
Lineage: Eukaryota; Viridiplantae; Streptophyta; Magnoliopsida; Malpighiales; Euphorbiaceae
Description: long non-coding RNA (MESC_LNC009420)
Source: RNAcentral
UUUUGAUUUCUUUUUGAUUUCUUCUUGUUUCUUCUUGUUUCUUUUUGUUUCUUUUUUCUUUUUGCAUUAUUCUUACCCCUUUUUGCACACACCAGAAUUUUUUCACACUUUUUGCACACACACACAGAAUUUUGUCUUAGCUUUUGCUCUACUCAACAUAGAUAACAAGGUUAAAAGAGUUUCCUUAUCUCAUGACCCCAUUGAUUUGCCACCCCUUUAAGCCUAAAUUGAAUCAUUCACAGUAUAUUACCUUCACUUAGGAAGUUCUUUACUUGAAUUGAAUCCUUAAAUUUGUUGUGGUCAAGGGAAAUAAAAAUACAAAUACAUGCAAACACAAAGUUAGUGCAACUCCUUAUGAGCUGAUUUGCCCAAAUUAUCAUGAAAAACCAGCACAAAGCACAAAUCACAAACUUGUUCCAAUGGUCUAAGACUAUGAACUGAGCCUAAUAGCCACUUGGAGAAGUAACUGACUAAGUAACCGGGGGUGUAUCACCCAUGUACACAAUCGCGUAAAAAGGUCAGUAACUUUUUCAAGCAAAUAAGUUUCGAUGGUCUAGACUAUGAACAGAGCUAGUAGCCACUUGAACAAGUGACUAACUGAGUAACCGGGGGUGUAUCACCCAUGUACACAAUCGCGUAAAAAGGUUAGUGACUUUUUCAGGCAAGGAUAAGAAUAAGUGCUGCUGAAAAUAAAAACAAAAAUAAAAAGAAAUAGAGAAGAAAAGGGGCAAGUCAUUCCUAGGGGUUGCAUUAAAACUAACAUAAAGGAAUAAGCAUGAUUGAGUCAAAAA